UUUAACAAUCACAUCACCCUGAAUGUGUCUGAUUUUAUCUGAUCUCAGAACCUAAGCAGGGUCAGCCAUGGUUAGUACUGGAAUAGGGGACUGGGUGGUAAUAGUGGGUGUUGUGGGCU
This 119-nucleotide ribosomal RNA is filed under the name Sarcophilus harrisii (Tasmanian devil). Lineage: Eukaryota; Metazoa; Chordata; Mammalia; Dasyuromorphia; Dasyuridae. The record is from RNAcentral.